Dromiciops gliroides (monito del monte) is the source of this 5621-nucleotide RNA transcript. It is a transcript of the gene named cell division cycle 27, with no coding region annotated. NCBI's taxonomy places the organism in Eukaryota, Metazoa, Chordata, Mammalia, Microbiotheria, Microbiotheriidae. The record is from RefSeq and is a predicted model, not a curated record. The transcript is spliced from 19 exons.
CCUUCGUGUUUUUCCGGCCGAGCUCGGGCAUUUCCGGCCAGCACCAGCUUCGGCGGUUUCCGUGCUGCAUUCGGGUGUACUCGGCAGCCGUUCGGCCUCCCCCAUCCCCCGGUAACGGUCGCUGCUGAGUUUAAAUGAGCCGGGGCUGGGCCGGGCCGGAGCCGCUACGGGGGGGCCUGAGGCGCGACGGAGAGCGGGCCUGAGCCUUGAGAAUGACGGUGCUGCAGGAACCCGUCCAGGCUGCUAUAUGGCAAGCACUAAACCACUAUGCUUUCCGAGAUGCAGUUUUCCUUGCAGAAAGACUGUAUGCCGAAGUACACUCAGAAGAAGCAUUGUUUUUACUGGCAACCUGUUAUUAUCGCUCAGGAAAGGCAUAUAAAGCAUAUAGACUCUUGAAGGGACACAGUUGUACUACACCACAGUGUAAAUAUCUACUUGCAAAAUGUUGCGUUGACCUCAGCAAGCUUGCUGAGGGGGAACAGAUCUUAUCUGGUGGAGUUUUAAAUAAGCAGAAAAGCCAUGAUGAUAUUGUUACAGAGUUUGGUGAUUCAGCUUGCUUCACACUUUCAUUGUUGGGACAUGUAUAUUGCAAGACAGAUCGGCUUGCCAAAGGAUCAGAAUGUUACCAAAAGAGCCUUAGUUUAAAUCCUUUCCUCUGGUCCCCUUUUGAGUCAUUAUGUGAAAUAGGUGAAAAGCCAGAUCCUGACCAAACAUUUAAAUUAACAUCAUUACAGAACUUUAGCAGCUGUCUGCCCAACACUUGCACAACUGUAGUAUCUAAUCACAAUUUAUAUCACAGACAGCCUGAGACAGUUCUAAUGGAAACUCCCCAAGAUACAAUUGAAUUAAACAGACUGAAUUUAGAAUCCUCCAAUUCAAAGUACUCCUUGAACACAGAUUCCUCAGUGUCUUAUAUUGAUUCAGCUGUAAUUUCACCAGACACUGUCCCCCUUGGAACAGGAACUACCUUACUGUCUAAACAGGCUCAAAAUAAACCAAAAACUGGGCGGAGUUUAUUAGGAGGACCAGCUGCUCUUAGCCCUUUAACUCCAAGUUUUGGGAUACUGCCACUAGAAACUCCAAGUCCUGGAGAUGGAUCAUAUCUACAAAACUACACUAACUCGUCGUCUGUAAUUGAUGUGCCAUCUACAGGAGCCCCCUCAAAGAAGUCUGUUGGCAGAAUCAGCCAAGCUGGAACAAAGUCUGUCUUCUCACAGAGUGGAAAUAGUCGAGAGGUAACUCCAAUCCUUGUUGCACAAACACAAAGUUCUGGCCCACAGACAAGUACAACACCUCAGGUAUUGAGCCCCACUAUUGCUGCUCCACCCAAUGCACUGCCUCGAAGGAGCUCACGACUUUUUACUAGUGACAGCUCUACAACCAAGGAGAAUAGUAAAAAGUUAAAAAUGAAGUUUCCACCUAAAAUUCCAAACAGGAAAACAAAAAGCAAGACUAAUAAAGGAGGAAUAACUCAACCAAACAUAAAUGAUAGCCUGGAAAUUACAAAAUUGGACUCUUCGAUCAUUUCAGAAGGAAAAAUAUCCACAGUAACACCACAGAUCCAAGCUUUCACUAUUCAGAAGGCAGCAGCAGAAGGUUUGAUGAGCCUUCUUCGUGAUAUGGGGAAAGGUUACUUAGCUUUGUGUUCCUAUAACUGCAAAGAAGCGAUAAACAUACUGAGCCACCUCCCUUCUCAUCACUAUAAUACUGGUUGGGUACUGUGCCAGAUUGGAAGAGCAUACUUUGAACUGUCAGAAUAUAUGCAGGCAGAACGAAUAUUUUCAGAAGUGAGACGGAUUGAAAAUUACCGAGUAGAAGGCCUGGAGAUCUAUUCAACAACACUUUGGCAUCUUCAAAAAGAUGUUGCUCUUUCGGUUCUUUCAAAGGACUUAACUGACAUGGAUAAAAAUUCACCAGAGGCCUGGUGUGCUGCAGGAAACUGUUUCAGCUUACAAAGGGAGCAUGAUAUUGCAAUUAAAUUCUUCCAGAGAGCUAUCCAAGUUGAUCCAAAUUAUGCUUAUGCCUAUACAUUGCUGGGGCAUGAAUUUGUGUUAACUGAAGAACUAGAUAAAGCAUUAGCUUGUUUUAGAAAUGCAAUCAGAGUCAAUCCUAGACAUUACAAUGCAUGGUAUGGAUUGGGAAUGAUUUAUUACAAACAAGAAAAAUUCAGUCUUGCAGAAAUGCAUUUCCAGAAAGCACUUGAUAUCAACCCUCAAAGUUCAGUUCUACUUUGUCAUAUUGGAGUUGUUCAGCAUGCACUAAAAAAAUCUGAAAAGGCUUUGGAUACCUUAAACAAAGCCAUCAUUAUUGAUCCCAAGAACCCUCUAUGCAAAUUCCACAGAGCCUCGGUUUUAUUUGCAAAUGAAAAAUAUAAGUCUGCUUUACAGGAACUUGAAGAAUUGAAACAGAUUGUUCCCAAAGAGUCCCUCGUUUACUUCUUAAUAGGAAAGUGUCAAUAUUUAUUUUUAGGUUUACAAGAAGCUAGGUCAGACUCAUCUGGCCCUGAUGAAUUUCUCCUGGGCAAUGGAUUUAGACCCUAAAGGAGCUAACAACCAGAUUAAAGAAGCAAUUGACAAGCGUUACCUUCCAGAUGAUGAGGAACCUAUAACUCAAGAAGAACAGAUCAGUGAGUGUUAUCCAUAUGAAUCAGUGGGAACAGAUGAAUCCCAAGAGAGCAGCAUGACAGACGCAGAUGACACACAACUCCACGCAGCAGAAAGUGAUGAAUUUUAAAUUCUGGAAGCCAGACAUUUGCACCUGGAUGUGUGACUAGUGCUGUUAUUUUUUCUUGUCCCUCCAUGUCCUGAGUCUUCACAUCUCGAGCCAGCAUCGUCAUUAUCCAUCACUUACACCAGGAAUGUGCCAUUUUCAUCGGACCCAGACUGUACACAGAAUGAAUGAAUGGCAGUGCAAUAUUCAUCUGCUACCAAGACUGGCUCUUUCACCUAUAUGAACAUGACCGUUUGUGGGGGAAAGACUUUUUUUUCUUUUGUCUUUUUUGUUUGUUUGUUUUUUUAAGCCUCCCUUUGUUGGAAAGCUAUCAUGGAAGGAAGAGUUGUGUUUUGCCCUAAGGGAACUUUUAGCCAAGGGAAAUAGUGAUGAACCAGAACUUUUUGGUCUUUCUCCAGAAACUUGUCUUAAUUUAGUUGUGUUCUUGGUAAGUGGAGUGACUGACCUUCAUUUCCAGGUUCUUCAAGGAUGGUGUUGGCAAGUGCCAGAUGGAACAAUAAAAGACAUUGCCUAUUACAGAGUAACUUGAAUGCCAAGGAAUGUAAAUUACCUUAAAAUUACAGUGUCUCCUGUAAACAAAUAUAAUGGGCAUAAUCCAGACACUUGUGUGUGUAAGAAUAAAAUGUCCCUCCAUACAGUGUAAACUUGCUCUUGGUAAGAGGAGAGUGUCCCAGAACAGCAGCUUUUACAAAAUGUUUUUAUACCUAACCAAGAGUUUUCAAUUUAUUACCUAGCUUCAAAGUGUCAAUCACUGUUGUUUUGGUAUUACAGACUAAAAAGUUGGUUGUUACCUCUUCUCUUAAGCCCUGUGGGAUCACCUUUAACAUUUAAAGAUAGGGUAGUUACCUAUUAAAAGAUCAAACCAAGUCCCCUAACAGGAAAUAAAAUUCACAAUAAUAAACAGUAUACAAACACUAAAUCAAUCUAGAAUCUAAGGGAUCAUGACAGUGGAAGCCUUAAUAUAAUUAGAACCUUUACCAUAAACUUGAAUCUAUAUUGUUCAAGACAGUAUCCUUUCAACUUUUAUAAGUGUUGUUUAAGCAGGAUGCAAGAAUGUGCAAUUAAUUUGGGGUUGUGGUAGUAUCCAUUUUUAAGGUUCUCUGCUUCUAAUUCAUUUUCGAUGGCAUAGGUCACCAAAAUCUUGGUUUGGAGUAGGUUAGGUUUAGGCCAAUAGAAAUUUUUUAGUUGAAACAUAAGCCAGAUUGUAUGAAGGUGGCAGAAGUUCUCUCCUGUGUCAAAGUAAUGUACAGCAAUUUAGGUUGAUGGUGUCCUUGGGGAAUGGGCAUAAGUUUCAUAUUACAGGAUUUUAAAGAGCCAAUUAUGCACAAUAAAUUGGGAAUGAUUGAAAUUUCACAACAACCUAUUUAAGUAGUCUUUAAACAUAUGUUCCUCCUUUAUUUUAAUGUAUGUAAUUUUUAGGGAACCUUUAGUUAUUAACAUUUUUUUAUUUAGUGCCAUUGUCAGUGCAUAUCAAAUGACAAUUUCUUAACGACAGGAGUAGAUACAGUUUGGGGUCAUUUUGAUGAAGGAAAAACUUAUCAACCAUUGACUUGUACUUGCUAAUAACCAAGCUGUGAAAAUUAGGUGGAUUAUAGGAGAUACGAAAAAUUUUUAAUCUAUGGAUUUAUUAAUGUUAGAAUAUGAGUAGAUUUGACAUUCACUAUUUGUCUUCUCUUUUAAACAUGCACUAAAUCCUGUUGCCAAUUAAUGCAAGUCAGAGUACUAGAUGAAGGUAUUUGGUGCCAGAGAGGUAUUUCAUCAAAUUUUUCUACUUGAUCCACAUAUAAGCUCCUCGAGAAAAUUGAUGAGGAAACCCAGAUUGAAUGAAAGGAGCACCACUGAAAUUUCCCAAGGGCUGCUGCUUCGAUUUCUAGCAGAAUAUUGCAUUUUGUUUAUCCACUUGUAGUUUUGUAGCAUUUAAAUUUAGUUUAGGUUUUUCCCCCCAAUUGCCCAGCCUUAAACCAGCUGUCUCAUCUAGCAUUUCAUAGAAAGUUUUCAACAGGGGUAUUGCUGCAAAACCCCACACUGUACUGUUUGGAGAAAGUGAAGUUAGCAACAUUAUUUUCUAAACUACAAUUGGAUACCUUUCUGUACUGGAAGUUUACAUCCACUACACCAAAGGUAGAAAUCUUUCUGGUGCUAGUCCAUUGGAGAUGAAUGGAAAAUGGUCAUUGUCAAGGGCAUACCAUGACUGGAAGGAAAUCCAUCAAUUUUGUUGGGAUCAAUCUUAAUUUCUUUCUUCCUUAGGCCAGUUUUCAAAGCCAUUUCAUUCUAUGGAGCUUUUCCCCACCCAGCAACAGUUUCUAAUUCUUUCCCCUACCCCACAGUUCCCUUCUUCCUUCAAAUAAUAGGUAGAAAAGGGAGUUAUGAAAAAAACCCAAAGAAGCUCAUUUUUAUUGAACUAAAAGUUGUUUCAAACAGCUAUAGUUCAUUUAGAAGAAAUUUUUUAAACAAAAUUACCAAGUACACCUUGACAGUUUGCUUUUUUUUCUGUUAUAUAUAUAUUUUUUAAUUUUGUUCAGAAGUUACAAGUUGUUGCAUUGGAAUUCAGUUUUGAAAAAUUGCCUUGGAAAGGGUUCUUAACUCUGGAAUUUUAGAAGGAUAGGAAUUCUUCUUCUAAAGUGGAUGGUGGUACUCAAUAAUAAAAGAUGGUCCCUGCUUUCUCCAUACUUCAUUACUUAAGAAAUUUUAUUUUUUCCAAGAGCUAAAAGUAACCUUUGAACCAUGCUGCUGUUGUACCUUAAACAAAAAAACUCAGUGAUGACCAAUAUUUAGUCUAUUAAAAACACUUUGAAGAAAAUAGUUUGGAGGUCUCUGAUCCGGAACAUAGUAUGGGUAUUCACUGAGGAAUAAGGUGACUCAUUUUCUUAAUACAAAACAUGACAACAAGG